This 63-nucleotide transfer RNA is filed under the name Megalophasma granulatum. Its description in RNAcentral is "tRNA-Thr". Lineage: Eukaryota; Metazoa; Arthropoda; Insecta; Phasmatodea; Lonchodidae. The record is from RNAcentral.
GUUUUAAUAUUUUAUAAAAAUAUUGGUUUUGUAAACCAAAGAUAGUGAAAACACUUUAAAACU